This 204-nucleotide long non-coding RNA is filed under the name Neogobius melanostomus (round goby). RNAcentral's name for it is "lncRNA (ENSNMLG00000015568.1)". The record is from RNAcentral. Lineage: Eukaryota; Metazoa; Chordata; Actinopteri; Gobiiformes; Gobiidae.
GCUCUCUCUCUCAGCCAAGUGGAGUCCCUACAAAACGUGGUGCACAACUGGAGACAGGACAAAGAUUUCACCUGAUACCACGUGACGACGAGCUCAAGCACACGCAUUUUAAAACAGAAGAAAGGAAAAAUGGACACCAAGCAGACGUGACCGCAGAUCAUCUUUACAGUUUACAAUAUGAAGAUUUACCAAGAUGAACACAAA